CUCGCUCCUACAGUAGGCUACAGUAUGACGACAUGAGAUUUGCACAGAAUGAACUGGAGCGGAAUCGGAUUACAUAGGCUCACACAAAUGACAGAGUGCAGGCUGCGGAGUUGGAGGACACACACAUUUGACCACACUGAGUUAAACACAAGUUAAGUCUGCGCUGCCUGUUCUUGCUGCUGCUCAUCCUGUGAUGGUCUUUGGAUGUUCCUGAGAGGUUUAUCAUUGACACAAUGUCACAGAGGACAGAACGGACACGGCCUCCUGGGGUCACAGUUGGAGGGGAAGGGUGAGAACUCUACCAGCCUUCAGACAAAGCUGCUGGAACAAAUAAUUGACAGGUUGCCUUGAAAACCAACCGACUCAUCUGCAUGAGACAAAUAAGCCUUGUAGCACAG
Molecule: long non-coding RNA, 398 nt
Organism: Larimichthys crocea (large yellow croaker)
Lineage: Eukaryota; Metazoa; Chordata; Actinopteri; Sciaenidae
Exons: 3
Source: RefSeq, a predicted model, not a curated record